GUUUAUCAAAAACAUGUCUUUUUGAAUUUAAUUUAAAGUCUAACCUGCCCACUGAAGUUUUAAAUGGCCGCAGUAUUUUAACUGUGCAAAGGUAGCAUAAUCAUUAGUCUUUUAAUUGAAGGCUGGAAUGAAUGGUUGAAUGAGAUAUUAACUGUUUCAUAUAAAUUAAUAAUAAAAUUUUAUUUUUUAGUUAAAAAGCUAAAAUUUGAUUAAAAGACGAGAAGACCCUAUAAAUCUUUAUAUUUAAUUUUAUAGCUAUUAUAUUGAUUAUUUAAAUUUUUAUAAAAUUAAAUAUUUUAUUGGGGUGAUAUUAAAAUUUAAAUAACUUUUAAUUUAAAUAAUACAAAAAUUAUUGAAUUAUUGAUCCAUAAAUAAUGAUUAGGAAAUUAAGUUACUUUAGGGAUAACAGCGUAAUUUUUUUAGAGAGUUCAUAUUAAUAAAAAAGUUUGCGACCUCGAUGUUGGAUUAAGAUAAAAUUUAGGUGAAGAAG
Molecule: ribosomal RNA, 490 nt
Filed under: Melaloncha schiaffinoae
Lineage: Eukaryota; Metazoa; Arthropoda; Insecta; Diptera; Phoridae
Description: partial 16S ribosomal RNA
Source: RNAcentral